Molecule: ribosomal RNA, 496 nt
Filed under: uncultured bacterium
Lineage: Bacteria
Description: partial 16S ribosomal RNA
Rfam family: Bacterial small subunit ribosomal RNA
Source: RNAcentral
AUGAACGCUGGCGGCGUGCCUAAUACAUGCAAGUCGAGCGAACAGACGAGGAGCUUGCUCCUCUGACGUUAGCGGCGGACGGGUGAGUAACACGUGGAUAACCUACCUAUAAGACUGGGAUAACUUCGGGAAACCGGAGCUAAUACCGGAUAAUAUAUUGAACCGCAUGGUUCAAUAGUGAAAGACGGUUUUGCUGUCACUUAUAGAUGGAUCCGCGCCGCAUUAGCUAGUUGGUAAGGUAACGGCUUACCAAGGCAACGAUGCGUAGCCGACCUGAGAGGGUGAUCGGCCACACUGGAACUGAGACACGGUCCAGACUCCUACGGGAGGCAGCAGCAGGGAAUCUUCCGCAAUGGGCGAAAGCCUGACGGAGCAACGCCGCGUGAGUGAUGAAGGUCUUCGGAUCGUAAAACUCUGUUAUUAGGGAAGAACAAAUGUGUAAGUAACUAUGCACGUCUUGACGGUACCUAAUCAGAAAGCCACGGCUAACUACGUG